UGGCGGCCUUAGCGCGGUGGUCCCACCUGACCCCAUGCCGAACUCAGAAGUGAAACGCCGUAGCGCCGAUGGUAGUGUGGGGUCUCCCCAUGCGAGAGUAGGGAACUGCCAGGU
RNAcentral lists this ribosomal RNA (114 nucleotides) under Escherichia coli. The record is from RNAcentral. RNAcentral also lists the same sequence under 1 other name. Lineage: Bacteria; Pseudomonadati; Pseudomonadota; Gammaproteobacteria; Enterobacterales; Enterobacteriaceae.